Molecule: ribosomal RNA, 3102 nt
Filed under: Triticum aestivum (bread wheat)
Lineage: Eukaryota; Viridiplantae; Streptophyta; Magnoliopsida; Poales; Poaceae
Description: partial small subunit ribosomal RNA
Source: RNAcentral
AUGGCGCCCUCCGAGCCUGCUCAGCCGACUGCUCCUCACCCCAACGCCACCCUUUGGGCGCAGGCCACCGCCAUCCCCAACGCCCGCUCUCUCGUCCCCAUUGUCCUCGAGUUCAAGAGCGCCGUCUUCCCCAAGUGGAGGACCUUCUUCAACAUCGCCGUCACCACCUACGCCCUCGAGGAUCACCUCACCUCCGAGACGCCCUCCACCGACCGAACGUGGCUCCGCCUCGACGCCCUCGUGCUCCGCUCGCUCUAUGGCUCCAUGGCCAUGGACAUCGUCGACCUCGUCAUGCCUACCGACCCCGCCACCGCCACGGCGUACAAGGUCGGGACCGCCGUCAUCGCGCUCUUCAACGACAACCAAAAGAACCGCGAGAUUUAUCUCGCCGAGGAGUUCCACAACAUUAAGCAGGAGGAUCGGUCCAUCACCGAGUACCUUCACCUGCAGAAGACGGCGGCUGACGCCCUCGCCGAGGUCGGUGCGCCCGUCUCCGAUCCCGAGCUCGUCACCAACGUCAUCAAGGGCCUCCACGAGCGUUUCGACAGCGUCGCCGACAUCGCCCCCCUCCUCGUGCCGUUCCCUACCUUCCUCAACUUUUGCAACAUGCUGCUGCUCCACGAGAUGAAGGCCUCUCGGCGCUCCAACAACACCUCGCCCUCUGCCUUUUACGCCGCCAAAGGACCCGUCCCCGCUCCUUCCAGCGUCGGCCGCUCGUCCUCCGGAGGCGGCGGUGGUGCUCCUUCCGGUUCGGCCGGCGGCCAGCUAUGGCGGGCUCCUGCUCCCGCCCGCAAUCCUCAUGCCACCGGCUAUGGCAAGGGGAAGGGCAAGAACAAGGGAUACAAGUCCGCCGGUGGCGCUCCUCCCAUGCCAACUCCGUUCAAUCCUUGGACAGGAGCCAUCCAGAUGUGGCCCAUGCAGUCCCGCCCCACCAACCCCGGCGGCAUCCUCGGACGGGCUCUGGGCCCCCGCGCUCACGCCUACAUGGCCGCUCCACUGGCUGCUCCCGGAACCCACUACGGCGGUUACGGCUCCGUCCCAUACGGCGCCGCGCUGCCCUACGCUGCGCCACCAACACCGGCACCAUCAUGGGACACCGCUGCUCUCGCCCAACACUUCACCAACAUGACGUUGCAGCAGCCCGCUCCCAAGUGGGUCAUGGACAGCGGCGCGACCGCCCACCUUUUCUCCGAUGCCGGUAUCUUAUCCUCCCUUUCUCAUCAUCCUAUAUAUCGUCACAUGCCCACCACCGCAGCCACAUACGACUUCCUCGCCGACGAUGACACACUACCCAUAGUUGUCCCGCAUCUUCCGAUCGUCACUCCUACUCCUACCCCGCCACCCUCCCCACCACCCACCCCUCCAUCACCACCCGCACCACCCUCACCACCUGCCCCUCCCUCACCGGAUGCUCCUCCCGAACCAGGCGCCCCACCCACUCAUCGCACGCGCAACACCUCCGGCAUACACAAGGGCCCUCGCGAGCGGCUUAACCUGCAUGUUUCCUUUGUCAGUAGGCAGCAAAGUCGUUUGUAUGGGAGAAGGGUGUCGGACGGACCGGCCUCCUAUGUCCGCUUGGCAGAGGAAGCGGCGGUUCGCCUACUUCUCAAGCUCCUAAUGGAUGGAUAUGUCUUGCAGCUCCACGACCUCUUCUGCUUGGGCGAUUUCAAACUCCACCAGCACGUUGUCCAUGCCAAAUCCGGCAGUCGGAGGCACCGGCAGCCUUGCUUGCAUCAUCUUCCUCCUCUACUGCUUCGUGUCCUCCAUGUCUACAUCUGGCGCCUGCUCCUCCUCCUAGUCCAGCUCCCUCCGACAUGGUGGACGCCACAGGGCAUAAACGGUUAUAUCCACCCCAGAUAUAGGUUGCAUAUGAGGGUUGUCAGCCAACCCCGACGUAUAGCGCCGAAACUCAAGGAGUACGAUCUUUCAGGUUCUUGGAUGCGGCGACAAUACGUAGAUCUUCCCAGCAACAACACUUUUGCCAACUUGACUAGUGGCAUAGCUUGGGGUGAGAUCUUGAGGAAGACACCCAGGCUGUUUCAGUUCAUCUUGUUCCUUGUUUCUUCGCACCAACUCCUCUGGACAGGAAGAGACCUCUGUGGUCCAACAGCAGCGGGCAGCGAGUAUGGGCUUCGCCAGCCAUGUUCUUCAUACGUUUUUUGGCCUGAGACACGCACAUCUGGACCUGAGGCUGGGAACACAUGGGAGAUGAUGAUGAUAUGGAUAGCCUAUCUUGCUUCCGUUUCUCUAGCCACAAGCAUGUGUGGGACGCAAGAACAAUGCUUAGCCAUACUGGGCAGCCCUCCUCCUUCAACAGCAUAUAGUGGAAGGCAUCAAAGGCGUUUGUAUGGGAGAAGAGGAAGAGGGGCAAACAACAAACUACAAGGACUAAGGGCACAUCGCAUCAUAGCAGAAACCCGUGGAGGCGAUGAUCUCGGAGCUCUUGGAUGCGGCGAUGAUGCUUGUAGAUCUUCCCAGCGGCAGCACUUGUGCCGACUUGACUGGUGGCAUAGCGUGGUGUUGACGCUUGAAGAAGGCUACCAUCUUUUUUUCUUGACAAAACAAGAAGGCUACCAUCUUGGUGCUCUGCGGAGGAGGGUGAUAGAUGAGGAAGAUCGGGUUGGAGCUGGAAGUGAACUCUUCGAAAUCAUAAGGGGCCUGGUGAGGGUAUUCAUCAGUGAGAGGGUGAGGGAGUGCGCUUUGAUGAACUCGCCCAGGCUCGCCGCCGCCCCUGCGCCCGCGCCAGCCCCAGAGCCAAGCUCGCCGCGGGCCCCCUGCGUCCGCCUCGCGCCCCCCUGGAGCCAGGCCUGCCGCCGCUGCCCUAACCGCGGCCGUCCACCACCACCCCCUGCCCCCGGAGCCAAGGUAAUUACAAGAAGAAGAAAGUUGAAAAAAAGAAGAAGAAGUAGAAGAAGAAGAAAAAGGAAAAAAAGGAAGAAGAAUAAGAAGAAAGUUGAAAAACAGAACAAGAAAGGAAGAAGGAGAAGAGGAGGAGGAGGAAGGAGAAGAAAGAAAAAGGAUAACAAGAAAAGAAGAGAGGUGGAGAAGAAGAAGAUGGAAAGGAAAAGGAAGAAUGCAUCAUUGCUGAAUUGUAGAGGCUGA